CGCCCACCUGAGGGCGACUCGAGGGUGCCCUCGCCCCGUCCGCCGUGACCACCCCUCUUCGGAUCUCACCGCCUCGACCAAAAUGUGAUUUGAGGCAAAGUCUGCGUUCGUGGCAAGGACAAUAAAAAUGAUGGAGCUUUUGGUCUUCAGCACCUUGAAAUGGAGGAUGCAAGCUGUUACUGCUUGCUCGUUUAUUGACUACUUCCUUUGCAAAUUCAAUGAUCAUGACACACCCUCCAUGCUCGCAUUCUCCUGCUCAACUGACCUCAUCCUGAGCACAGCUAAGUGAGCUGAUUUUUUGGUGUUCAGACAUUCAGAGAUUGCUGGAAGUGAUGCACUUCCUUCAUUUGGGGAGCACACGACUUCAGUUGUCGAAAUGGCUACAACUAAUUGCAAGUAUAUAAACACGGUAGUGAUCAGCUCUCUGUUAUCGUUAACUAAAUCAUUUGCCCGC
Triticum dicoccoides is the source of this 454-nucleotide long non-coding RNA. RefSeq lists it as uncharacterized. NCBI's taxonomy places the organism in Eukaryota, Viridiplantae, Streptophyta, Magnoliopsida, Poales, Poaceae. The record is from RefSeq and is a predicted model, not a curated record. The transcript is spliced from 3 exons.